RNAcentral lists this ribosomal RNA (493 nucleotides) under uncultured bacterium. RNAcentral describes it as "partial 16S ribosomal RNA". It matches the Rfam family "Bacterial small subunit ribosomal RNA", at positions 28 to 507 of the family's 1533-position model. The record is from RNAcentral.
GACGAACGCUGGCGGCGUGCUUAACACAUGCAAGUCGAACGGAAAGGCCUGCUUUCCCUUGUGGAUUGCGGGUACUCGAGUGGCGAACGGGUGAGUAACACGUGAGUGAUCUGCCCCCAACUUGGGUAUAAGCCUGGGAACUGGGUCUAAUUCCCGAUAGGACUGCAGGGUGGUGCCUGUGGUGGAAAACGAUUUUCUAGUGGUUGGGGAUGAGCUCGCGGCCUAUCAGCUUGUUGGUGGGGUAAUGGCCUACCAAGGCGGCGACGGGUAGCCGGCCUGAGAGGGUGGACGGCCACAUUGGGACAGGGAUCAGGCCCAGACGCCUACGGGAGGCAGCAGUGGGGAAUAAUGCACAAUGGGCGGAAGCCUGAUGCAGCGACGCCGCGUGGGGGAUGACGGGCUUCGGGUUGUAAACUCCUUUCGACCGAGAGGAAGCCACCUGGUUGGAAGGGUGGUGACGGUAGUGGUAGAAGAAGCACCGGCUAACUACGUG